UUUGGUGUUAUCUUUAUUUGCUGGAAUUUUCGUUCAUGAAUUGGUGUUAGCCUUUGUUAGCCUUCACGAAUCAUUAUCAGGUGAAUGUUUUUUCUGGAGUGUUAUAAUGUGAAACUAUCUAUAAACAUGGUGAUGUUUAUAAGCCUUUGUUAGCC
Diospyros lotus (date-plum) is the source of this 155-nucleotide long non-coding RNA. RefSeq lists it as uncharacterized. The transcript has 2 exons. The record is from RefSeq and is a predicted model, not a curated record. NCBI's taxonomy places the organism in Eukaryota, Viridiplantae, Streptophyta, Magnoliopsida, Ericales, Ebenaceae.